This 253-nucleotide ribosomal RNA is filed under the name uncultured bacterium. RNAcentral's name for it is "partial 16S ribosomal RNA". It matches the Rfam family "Bacterial small subunit ribosomal RNA", at positions 524 to 776 of the family's 1533-position model. The record is from RNAcentral.
UACGGAGGAUGCAAGCGUUAUCCGGAAUGAUUGGGCGUAAAGCGUCCGCAGGUGGCUAUGUAAGUCUGCUGUUAAAGAGUGAGGCUCAACCUCAUAAGAGCAGUGGAAACUACAUGGCUAGAGUGCGUUCGGGGCAGAGGGAAUUCCUGGUGUAGCGGUGAAAUGCGUAGAGAUCAGGAAGAACACCGGUGGCGAAGGCGGCAUUCUGGACCGACAUUGACGCUGAGGCGCGAAAGCCAGGGGAGCAAACGGG